UACGUAGGGUGCAAGCGUUGUCCGGAAUUAUUGGGCGUAAAGAGCUCGUAGGCGGUCUGUUGCGUCGGCUGUGAAAACCCGGGGCUCAACCCCGGGCCUGCAGCCGAUACGGGCAGACUAGAGUUCGGCAGGGGAGACUGGAAUUCCUGGUGUAGCGGUGAAAUGCGCAGAUAUCAGGAGGAACACCGGUGGUGAAGGCGGGUCUCUGGGCCGAUACUGACGCUGAGGAGCGAAAGCGUGGGGAGCAAACAGG
RNAcentral lists this ribosomal RNA (253 nucleotides) under uncultured bacterium. RNAcentral's name for it is "partial 16S ribosomal RNA". It matches the Rfam family "Bacterial small subunit ribosomal RNA", at positions 524 to 776 of the family's 1533-position model. The record is from RNAcentral.